Molecule: transfer RNA, 76 nt
Filed under: Ralstonia sp. SET104
Lineage: Bacteria; Pseudomonadati; Pseudomonadota; Betaproteobacteria; Burkholderiales; Burkholderiaceae
Description: tRNA-His
Rfam family: tRNA
About the family: Transfer RNA (tRNA) molecules are approximately 80 nucleotides in length.
Source: RNAcentral
GUGGCUGUAGCUCAGUUGGUAGAGUCCCAGAUUGUGAUUCUGGUCGUCGUGGGUUCGAGUCCCAUCAGUCACCCCA